UUGGUUUUUUGGGCUAAGGAGUUUAUUGUGAAGAGGGGAUUUGUUGCAUCACCUUGAACUCUUAGGCUGCUAGAGAAUCAGAGUUUUACCGGACUUAUUUCUUCUCCAAGAUUCAAGAUUUCGGUAGAGAAUCUUAGUGCGUGGGAUUUGGUGAACCCAACUCUGUAGCUCGGAGCCAGGAGAAGAUCAAGUUUAGAUUUGGGGGUGUCAGGGAGUUGUAUUGUCUGCGCUAUCAGUAUCUCUGUAUUUUCCUUUUCUGUGAGUGUAAGGCUUGUAUUCUGA
Dioscorea cayenensis subsp. rotundata (Guinea yam) is the source of this 282-nucleotide long non-coding RNA. RefSeq lists it as uncharacterized. The record is from RefSeq and is a predicted model, not a curated record. Lineage: Eukaryota; Viridiplantae; Streptophyta; Magnoliopsida; Dioscoreales; Dioscoreaceae. The transcript has 3 exons.